This 253-nucleotide ribosomal RNA is filed under the name uncultured bacterium. RNAcentral describes it as "partial 16S ribosomal RNA". It matches the Rfam family "Bacterial small subunit ribosomal RNA", at positions 524 to 776 of the family's 1533-position model. The record is from RNAcentral.
UCCGUAGGGGGCAAACGUUAUCCGGAAUUACUGGGUGUAAAGGGUGAGUAGGCGGUUAAAUAAGCCAUAUGUGAAAGUCUGUAGCUCAACUAUAGAAUUGCAUAAGGAACUGUGUAACUAGAGUGCAGGAGAGGUAAGUGGAAUUCCUAGUGUAGCGGUGAAAUGCGUAGAUAUUAGGAGGAACACCAGUGGCGAAGGCGACUUACUGGACUGAAACUGACGCUGAGACACGAAAGCGUGGGGAGAAAACAGG